CCUACGGGGGGCACCAGUGGGGAAUAUUGCACAAUGGGCGCAAGCCUGAUGCAGCCAUGCCGCGUGUAUGAAGAAGGCCUUCGGGUUGUAAAGUACUUUCAGCGGGGAGGAAGGUGUUGUGGUUAAUAACCACAGCAAUUGACGUUACCCGCAGAAGAAGCACCGGCUAACUCCGUGCCAGCAGCCGCGGUAAUACGGAGGGUGCAAGCGUUAAUCGGAAUUACUGGGCGUAAAGCGCACGCAGGCGGUCUGUCAAGUCGGAUGCGAAAUCCCCGGGCUCAACCUGGGAACUGCAUUCGAUACUGGCAGGCUAGAGUCUUGUAGAGGGGGGUAGAAUUCCAGGUGUAGCGGAGAAAUGCGUAGAGAUCUGGAGGAAUACCGGUGGUGAAGGCGGCCCCCUGGACAAAGACUGACGCUCAGGUGCGAAAGCGUGGGGAGCAAACAGGAUUAGAUACCCGCGUAGUC
RNAcentral lists this ribosomal RNA (465 nucleotides) under uncultured bacterium. Its description in RNAcentral is "bacterial SSU rRNA". It matches the Rfam family "Bacterial small subunit ribosomal RNA", at positions 338 to 795 of the family's 1533-position model. The record is from RNAcentral.